Molecule: ribosomal RNA, 403 nt
Filed under: uncultured bacterium
Lineage: Bacteria
Description: partial 16S ribosomal RNA
Rfam family: Bacterial small subunit ribosomal RNA
Source: RNAcentral
AUUGAACGCUGGCGGCAGGCCUAACACAUGCAAGUCGAGCGAGCGGCGGACGGGUGAGUAAUGUAUGGGGACUGCCCGAUAGAGGGGGAUAACUACUGGAAACGGUUGCUAAUACCGCAUACUAUCGGAUAACCCAUAUGGGAUUAGCUAGUGGGUGGGGUAAAGGCUCACCUAGGCUACGAUCUCUAGCUGGUCUGAGAGGAUGAUCAGCAACACGGGGACUGAGACACGGCCCAGACGCAUAGGGAGGCAGCAGUGGGGAAUAGUGCACAAUGGGCGGAAGCCUGAUGCAGCCAUGCGGCGGGUAUGAAGAAGGCCGUAGGGGUGUAAAGUACUUGCAGCGGGGAGGCGUUACCGGCAGAAGAAGCACCGGCUAACUCCGUGCCAGCAGCCGCGGGAAUAC